GAGGAUAUGGCUCAGUGGUAGGGCACAUGCCUAGCAUGCAUGAAGUCCUGGGUUCAAUUCCCAGUACCUCCA
RNAcentral lists this transfer RNA (72 nucleotides) under Camelus bactrianus (Bactrian camel). It matches the Rfam family "tRNA". From Rfam's summary of the family: Transfer RNA (tRNA) molecules are approximately 80 nucleotides in length. Their secondary structure includes four short double-helical elements and three loops (D, anti-codon, and T loops). Further hydrogen bonds mediate the characteristic L-shaped molecular structure. tRNAs have two regions of fundamental functional importance: the anti-codon, which is responsible for specific mRNA codon recognition, and the 3' end, to which the tRNAs corresponding amino acid is attached (by aminoacyl-tRNA synthetases). tRNAs cope with the degeneracy of the genetic code in two manners: having more than one tRNA (with a specific anti-codon) for a particular amino acid; and 'wobble' base-pairing, i.e. permitting non-standard base-pairing at the 3rd anti-codon position. RNAcentral also lists the same sequence under 2 other names. Lineage: Eukaryota; Metazoa; Chordata; Mammalia; Artiodactyla; Camelidae. The record is from Rfam by way of RNAcentral.